Molecule: long non-coding RNA, 1228 nt
Filed under: Olea europaea subsp. europaea
Lineage: Eukaryota; Viridiplantae; Streptophyta; Magnoliopsida; Lamiales; Oleaceae
Source: RNAcentral
GAAGAUUGCUAGCUAAGCAUAGACACAGAACAAUCUUUUUGUUUAAUGGGGAAAGUAUCUAAUUCUUUUGAAGUGCAGAUAACAGUGUAGAUGUCCCCAAGCUUAUUUACAAGUCAGAUGAGUCUUCUAGUGCAUGACUAUGAUAUCCCUUCUCUUGAUACUUAGCGUAUUGGUGGAGAAGUGUGAACUUGCAAAACAAAAAUUAAAUUCAAUAUUUUCUUGAAAAUAGUUCAAUAUUAGAAAAUUGAAAAGGAAAUACUGCAUAAUGUAUGUUUCCCCUAAUGUAUGUUUGAAUUACUGCCUCCUUUGUUAUCUGUUGGAACCAAACACAGGAAAACAUUUACCUAAUAUUUUGCUCUUUUAUCCUCAUUGAUUUCCUUGAUCCAAACUAAGCUGAAUGGCUUGGUUAUGGUCUUUAUUAUUCCUCUGUCGGAGGUAGGAAAUAAAUUUUAGUAUAAUGAAUGCCGCAGAAUGGUGAUAAGAAGAUAAAUUAGAUUGCCAAAAAUAUCAGAUGUAGAUUCUCGUAAGUUAUGCUCACAAUGGAAGUACUAAACACACAACAUAUAAAUUGUGGGAAUAUGAUCACAUCAUUUUUCUUUUCUAUAUUGGAGUUAUCACUUAUCACAUGCAAUAUCAUUGUAUAACUUGAAGGAUGCUCAUUCAAAACUUGCUAGUUAGGUGAUACCCUUUCGAUAGACAUCGACUGGUAUGUCUCAUAGCUGUGUUGGACUAGCUACCCUAGAGAAUUAUCACAUUUAUAGGUGUGAAACCUUGGCAGUAUGAAGGGAGACAUCAUUCAUAGAACAGAGGAAGACAAAUUGUGGGAAGUUGCAAUUGUUCUUUUGAUUUCUGUGGUGAGGAGCCGAGGCAUUGAGUAAAGGUUUAAGAAAUGGGUGAGACUAGUGCCAUACAAUUGUGAGCUAGGACAGAUGGAGAACAACCGUCCAUUUAAAUCGAAAAGUAAUUUAAUUCUUUGAAGCAUUCCACAUGAGGUUAACUUAGUAGGUCCAUGAAGCUCAUUUACACAUUCGAAUUAGCUAAAAGCUCAUUUACACGUCUAGUUAGCUAAAUCUUAUUGCCAGUUUGAGAUGACUAAUAUAUCUUCAUUCAGUAAUUUAGGGUGUAGCAUUUCUAUGAUGAUGUGCUCUAAGAUAUCUAGGAAUAAAAGGUUUAUCCAAAUGAGUGCGAGGAGUGCCAUAAGAUGGCGAGCUGGUUGUUAUGUGUUGGU